Long non-coding RNA from Capra hircus (goat), 2752 nucleotides. NCBI's taxonomy places the organism in Eukaryota, Metazoa, Chordata, Mammalia, Artiodactyla, Bovidae. The record is from Ensembl.
UGCCUUAGACUGGCCCACCGGGCUCAUCUGUCCAUGAGAUUUUCCAGGCAAGAAUACUGGAGUGAGUUGCCAUUUCCUUCUCCACAACACUCACUUCUUCAGAUGAUAAAAUUAUUGCUCCACCACAGGGAAUCUUGUAUUAAUAGGAAGAAAGAAAUGCAUCUCAGCCAAGGAGAGGACAGAGAGAACACAACUCCCAGCCCCGCUUGGGUGUGUUCCCAGGCUGCACAGCUUCCAGAAGGCAGAAAGCAAGACAACACCAAGAAGUUUAACAGCAUUGCUUUCAAGUUCUGCCAUGAUGAAUCAGCUCAAAGGAUUCCCCAAUCUUUGUGUCCCUUUUCCAAGUUUCAAAUUCUCAGGGAUCAUAAUGAAAAGCCCAAAACCGAAGGCUUGCGUGCCACAUCCAGGAACUACAGAGAAUGGAGACCAGGGCAGUCACAUCCUAUUCCCGUCCUGGUGUGGAGGGAGAAGCGUGCUGGGGGCUGGGAUGAAGUGUGAAGAGAGGAUGAGGAGGAGUGCCCGGGCCUGCUCCCUAGAGGAGCAACAGUGCAGAGCUGACCUGACCCCACUCAAACCUGGGCUUCCCAGGUGGCGCUAGUGGUAAAGAAGCUGCCUGCCAAUGCAGGAGACAUAAGAGAGGCGGGUUGGAUCCCUGGGUCAGGAAGAUCCUUUGGAGGAGGGCAUGGCAACCCACUCCAGUAUUCAUGCCUGGAGAAUCCCAUGGACAGAGGAGCCUGGCGGGCUACGGUCCACGGCGUUGCAGAGAGUCGGACACGGCUGAAGUGAUGGAGCAUGCAUGUGCUUAAACUUACAGGUUUCAGGAGGGCUUUGUCCUGUAGUUUAUUAACAGAUUUCAAGGAACAAUCACUUACUCCCACACUGUAGCUCCAGGUCAAUCAUACGUUUCCUAGUUGGUUCAUUUUGCAAUUCAUUUCCUAAACUUCAGACUCAUAUAACUAAAUGCCCAUAAGAUGCCUGGCUCAGCCUGGGCAAUGCUAAACUCCUCCUCCUCUUCCCUAAAUGUGUUCCUUUUCUGACUAUCUCCUCUGUCCUCUUUCUGGUAUUGGUACCACCAACCCUAGCCACACAGGCUAAAUGAGACCAUCUCAUCCCCACACUCUCCUUCAAUCCCACCCCCACCCCAGCACCAUGUCACCAGUUACUAAAUUCUGGCUAAUUUAUCUCCUAACUCAUUCUCAGUUCCUCCCACCAGCCUUCUCUCCUUUUCCAUUGCUAGUUCAGAAUUUCUUCCUGUAAAGCAGUCUUAAGACACCCUUAUCAAUCCUUGUUAUUGCCUGAAUGAAAAAGGAUCUUCCUGUCUGUUUACUGUGGGGUAAAUGACGACCAGAUUCUUUUAGAGUUGAGCUGAAGAGGGAAAAGAGAACAGGAUUUCAAGAGAUGCCUGAGAGGAAGGCAUGAUCAAAGGGGAUAUAACCCAAAUUUCCUCUGCUCUCCUCAGCCUUUCAGUUGAAAUACUUCAAAGUUGCUCCUCUGUCCUGUCUUUUUUUAUUUUUUCCUGACACUCAGCACUUUAUUGGUGAGGAACCGAGGUCUGAGAAAGGUGGGGCUGGGAUGGACGGGACUAGCUCCCAUUCUCGGUGGAUUCCCCUGGACAUCAGGCGGUCCUCCAUGCACGUUUAGAGGAGGAAAACACCCUCACAGAUAAAAUCCCCAGGGAGCAGCCCUGUGACUGCUAGGCAACAGGGCGGGAGGGAUGCCCUGGGUACAGCGGGGCCCCGGGGAAGCGGGGCUUCUGUAUCGGGCUCAAUGUCCAGGAUUAGAAAGCGACGGCUGUACCUGCGCAAGGGCCCACCGUCUGGGCCCACCAGGAGCUUCCUGGAAGCUCUGGGCGAAGUCCCUGCGGCACACAGACACCAGGGGAUGAACCUGGGAUCCUUCCCGAGGGCUGUGGCAGUGUCACUGGGCAUGCGAAGGGCUUUGCCAAGGCCUGCAAAGAGCCCAGUGCGCCUGCGCCUGCCAGGGUCGCCCCAGGCAGUAGGCAAACAGAAAAGGCCACGUGGAGAGAUGAGAGAGCCACGGCCUAGAGAGCGCCUGUGUUCAAGGCUUUGGCAGCUAGGCUCAGCCUUGCAGUAGUAUCCAGUGAUCCCAGUAAUCUGUGGGCGGUUGUUUGGUAGCUCAAUCGUUCCGACUUUUUGCGGCCCCAGGAACUGUAGCCCGCCAGGCUCCUCUAUCCAUGGGGUUCCCCAGGUAAGAAUACUGGAGUGGGUUGCCGUUUCUUUCUCCAGGGGAAUCUUCCUGACCCAGGGAUCGAACCCAGGUCUCCUGCGUUGGGAGGAGGAUUCUUGAUCACUGAGCCAACUGGGAAGCCCAGUCUCUGGGUUACAAGGGUGCUUGUCCAGAAGAGCAAUUGCCUGGAAUCUCAUUGAAAUGCAGACUGUAAUUCAGGAGGUUUGGGUGCAGCCUGAGCUUCCCAACAAGUUCCUGGUGAUGCCGAGGCCGCUGGGUGGCAAAAGCUUAGAUAAUCUCUUUCGUAGUAAAAUUUCAUGACCACAAACCAGAACUCUGUCGUGAUUGAAGCAUAAAACUAGCUCUAGGCUCUGUAAGAGCCAGGUUAUACAGUGUCAGAGCAGGUCAGAAAAGGGCGGGAAAUGGAUAGGGGUUGGGUAGUGGAAAACUUAAGCAGCUCAUCAGCUCUUAGAAUAAAAGCUUCAAACUGGAUUGUGAGUUCUCAUCCUCUUUGUAGGGAUGUGUGACUGUUUUAAAACAGAUCAUCCAUAAGGACAGAGUGGGG